Strigops habroptila (Kakapo) is the source of this 3263-nucleotide RNA transcript. It is a transcript of the gene named CDC42 small effector 2, with no coding region annotated. The record is from RefSeq and is a predicted model, not a curated record. NCBI's taxonomy places the organism in Eukaryota, Metazoa, Chordata, Aves, Psittaciformes, Psittacidae. The transcript is spliced from 8 exons.
GGCGGAGCGGGCGGUACACCGAUAGGGCUGACGGGCAGCGGCAGCCGUCCUCACCGCCGCCCGGCCUCCUUUGUCCCUUCCCCUCCCCGGCGCGGCUAGCCCAGCCCAGCCGGCAGCACGGAGCGGAACGGGCCGGGCUGGGGAUUCCCUCUCCGCGACGCCGAGGUCGCCAUCUUCACCCCGACCUCGCCUCGGACCCUGCCGUCCGGGCUCCCGGGAGCCGUCCGGGAUCGCGGGAGGGGGCCUGCGCCGCGCCGCGCACGUCCGCUGCAUGUGACCGCCGGGCGGUAGCGGCCUCCUCCGCGGAUCUUGUCUGCGUCCUCCUCCGCCCUCAGCGCGGCGGAGAGGGGGCGCGGAGCGCCCGACAGCGGGGUACGGAGGUGCCGGGGCGCGGCGGGCAGACAAAGGAGCGGGCGCCACCGUGGGCAGCGGCCAGGAGAACAUAAGGUUCUUCGACUUUUGACUCUGAAGUUGGAUGUGCACUAAACUAAUUGGGGAUCUCUUCAGUGAGUAACUUGCUGCUUGAAGAAAGGACUAGACUAACUGAAGUUGCGGAAUUCAGGUUCACAUAACGCUAAGGACCAAAGAAGCAUACAUAACAUUUCUGUGGUGCUGGGACCAACCUUCUGAAAGAAGACUCUAACUUUUUGCCUUGAAGGUGUUUGUCCUGGGACUGUCUUGUCUUUGGAGAAGAGCUCAACAGAGAAAAGAUUUUCAGAUUGGAACCAUUAUAAGUAAACCUACUUAAAGGACUUGCUACCUGGAGACAGAUUUACGGAGUCCUGCUUUUCAUCUGUGUUCCCACUGCAGACUGUAAACAAUGAGUGAGUUUUGGUUGUGUUUCAACUGCUGUAUUGCAGAACAGCCUCAGCCUGUUGACACUCCAUCUUGCUUUGAAUUUCAAGAGCAAGCAAAGAGAGACUACAUCAUACAUAUUUUGGUACACCCUUGUUCCAGUGACUUACCUAAAAUGAACGAGAUGAUCAGUUUUUCCAACGUUCAAAUUUGAGAUCUUCGCGUAAGUCAUCAUAGGAGCAACCAGUGGGAUGGCCAUUGAAGCAGAUUUGUGAUUCCAUGCUUAGAAAAGACGGCGGCGGAUUGACCGAAGCAUGAUUGGGGAGCCAACAAACUUUGUUCACACAGCUCACGUAGGAUCAGGGGAUCUAUUCAGUGGAAUGAAUUCGGUGAGCUCAAUUCAGAACCAAAUGCAGUCCAAGGGAGGCUAUGGAGGUGGCAUGUCUGCAAAUGUUCAGAUGCAGCUUGUAGAUACAAAGGCAGGAUAACCCUGGGGAAACCUUUCCAGUUCUUGUGGGUUCCUGUAUCUUCUUUCCUGUGUCCUCUUUUUUGCCUUGGUGACUGCUUUCUGUGCUCAUGACGAGAGAAGUGAUGGCUCGUUGUUCACCCUUUGUGAUUACUCCAGUGAAAAGUUGCUGUUCUGCUCUGAUGAUGCCAUUUAUCAGAUUGGUCCAACCGUGCCUUUCAGUGGCAUGCACGCAUUUGCUUCUACCAGAAUCAUGAACAUAGAGCUGUUUAGGAUUGGGUUUAGUUUUUCGUUUGUUUUUAAGGCAAAUUAAAGCACCAACCUGAGCUUCCCUAAUCCCUCACAAAUACUAAUGUGCAACAUUCUGUUGCUUUUUAAUCAUUAAAUCUUUUGUCCACUAAAGUCAUUUAGCAAUGAGUGAGUUUCCGUUAAUGUCUUCAGUCAUCUAUUGUUCAUACCCAUUUUUGAAAGGUCUAGGACCUGCAAGCACAAAUGAUUAUUUCAUACAAAAUCAGCAGAGUAGAUGACCGCAUGCUUUGUGAGGUUGCUUUGUAUGGUGGCCCUCUUGGUGCUAGCAGAAAAAAAAAAAGUAAAAAUUGCUUACUGCAGACUGGUGAAAAAUUUUGCUGUGGCACCAAGUCAUGCCUGUUUCUAACAAAGGAUUUGUAACUUAGCUGCUUCAGAAUUAUGUUUUUAUUUUAGUUUUUAUCCAGCUGGUCUUGAAGUAAUAAAGAGAGAGCUUGUGUUCAUGAGGCAUUUGUUGUAAAUGUUCAAGUAUAUUUAUUUUGAAAGAGCUGACCUUGAGACUGUAAACCAGUGUAGUACCGUAUCUAAGUGUUGUGGAAGUGCUUUAGUCUAUUUAAAAAAGCAUAAGUUUGGCUGCUUCUUUUUCUUUUUACAGUUUUUCUUAAUUUUAGGCUGUAUGGUCAUUUCCAGUAGCAGCAUGUCAAACUGCCUGCAAUAUUAGCUGAAAAGUUUAGUAGACCUCUCGAGUAGUUGGCAGUUUCUGUGUACUAAAUAUUUAGGGGCCAUGGAAGUUGCUAAGAGCAACAUACUAAUCUGGCAGAACAGAUGCCAAUGAAAACAACAUACAGGGUGACUUUUUACUAAGUCAGUAAAACGCCUUUUGCUCAGGUUCCAAAGCAUGUUUCUUUCACACGUUGUGAAACUGUAUUUUAAUAUUGCACUGUUUUCAGAUUAUCUCUAUAAAUGGUCCCUUUUUUUCCUCCUUGUUGGUGGUUUGAGAGAAGUCAAUUAUUUGAGUCCUGGUUGAGUUAAAUUUUUAUGUGGGGAAAAAAAAAACAUCCAAACAAGGCAUAACUGAGCCUAGUCAGAUCUGUUUUUAUACGUGAGCACGCAUGUGUUCAUAAAUGUAGAUUGCUGUCAAUGAUUCUUUAUUCUUUUUCCAUACUUACCCUGAUUUCACAUUGCAACAGCUGUCAGGUUGAUUUAAACAUUUAUGAACCUACCUAGCCUUCUCUCUCAGUUCACAAACAACACACAAAAUAUAGGGCCAUGGUGGUAGUUUGCCUUUCCUAAAUUGUAUUCCAGUGGUAGGUGUCAAGUUAUCUGGUUCAGUAGUUCGAAUUGGGUUGGAUAGUCUUCACUGAUUAAAGGUACUGAUUUGUGACAACAGAAGAUCAAGAUGUUCAAUUGUCUGGGUGCAUAAACAUGGCAGUGCAGUGAUAUAUAUAUUUUUUUUUUUUAGAGGUCAACAUUUCCAAUGCCACUUUAUCAAUGAGUCUUAAAUAUACUAUGAUUACAAAGUUAUUUGAACUUUGUCAUUGGUAAUAGCAGCUUAAAUUUGCUUGCCAAACAUAUCUUGCACUUGUCAAAAUGUUUUCAACUCAAUAACCAGGAGAAAAAAAUAUGACGUAUUUUUAUAACAGACAUACUUUUUUUGUACAUUGUGUUCAUUCUUGAAUAAAGUCAGUUCAGUGUUGGCUUGGAGAUAUUAAAAGGAAAGUAUUGACUUUUAUUCAAUAAAUGUUUUCUUUCAGUU